This 578-nucleotide long non-coding RNA is filed under the name Olea europaea subsp. europaea. The record is from RNAcentral. Lineage: Eukaryota; Viridiplantae; Streptophyta; Magnoliopsida; Lamiales; Oleaceae.
AUUUUUGGAUCUAAAGGAAUCCAUCACAUCUGACCUUCCGUCCGUAACAUUUCUACAAACCUGUUCUCCUUUGGGUGAGGAAACUCUCUUACUAACUGAAAAUCGAAAUAGGAUACUAACGAUCAACAAAAAUAUGAAUUAUAACUGAUCGCGCUCUUCCUAAAUAUAAGUUCGCCCAGCCCAAGUUUCAAUCUUCUUCCCUCCACCACAAAACUUGUACAAAUUUCAGCCAGAUGCAGUCUGAUGAAAUCCCCAAUACAACUUUCUGGAAACAGCAAAAUGGUAGCAAUAAAUAUAAAGGAGAAGCAAAAAGGAGCUAAAAGAGCUAAAUUUUAUACAGCCUACCUCGGAGCAAUGAAGAAGAAGUUUCCCAAUAAUUGAGACUAUAUCAUUCAAUCGAGGGCUGCUGUCGGCGAUGCCUGGUAUUUCGAGAGACGGAGACGAGUAGAGAGCUGUGGGAGAAACUCAGAGCGAGAUCGGGGAUGAGCUGUUCAGGUUUGGGCUGGGUAAUGAUUUUAAAUUUUUUAUUUUUUAUUUUUAUUUUUUUUUGAGUGCAAAAAUUUGUUUUGGGCUUAGGC